Caretta caretta (loggerhead turtle) is the source of this 3259-nucleotide long non-coding RNA. RefSeq lists it as uncharacterized. The record is from RefSeq and is a predicted model, not a curated record. NCBI's taxonomy places the organism in Eukaryota, Metazoa, Chordata, Testudines, Cheloniidae.
CUGAAGAACAGGUUGAGGCUGCAGUGCUACAGACUUUACGGUAGCUCUCCCCCUGGGGAGAAUUACAGCACCGCGCGAGGAGGGGGCGCCGACUCCAUGGGUGCUCCGGGGCUGGAGCACCCACAGGAAAAAAUUAGUGAGUGCUCUGCACCUGCCGGCAGCCAAACAUGAGAACAGCAUGAGGAAGCAAGCCCUAUAGACUUGAAUGAGGAUAAAUCCUUAUAAAAAUAGGCCCUGAAGACUUUGGGUCUGAUUCUGCAAACCAACUUCCAGGAGCAUCAGAUGCACAUCUGACAAGGCCCUGCUCCCUCCUCGUGUCCAGGCCACCUGGCCAGUGGCUUGGCACAAGCAACUCUAAGUCUGGAAACAAUCCACUAAGGAACUGGAUGCUUGUGGUCAUUGACAAUGGUGGAGUGUGUGUAAAAGGAAGACGUGAGUAAGUGAUUUUCUUUUAAGGGUUUUACAAAUUUCUGAAGACCUAAAACUUUGUUUCUUUUUCAUUUGUAAUCCUUCUGAUACCUUGGCUGGAGGUGGGGUUAUAAAUGCAAUGCAGACAUUAAGCAUGCAACUUCCAGAUUGAGAACGCUGACAUUCUUCAACAGUGACUUUGGCACAAAGAAUCAGUGACUAUCAGAAUGACAAGAAUGGGAAAUAGCCACAAUCCUGCCCUAAAAAUGCUUCAAAAGCUGUUUGAGGUUCACCACAUUUUAGACACCAAUGCCAUGCUUCAGCCACAAGUUUAGCUCCUCGUAUGUCUGACCUAACUGAUUACACAUAUCAUAAAGGAGACCUGCCGAAAAGGGAAAAUAAAUGUGUGCUUUUAUUUUGUGUUUUAUGAUAUAUAAAGGAGACCUGGAAAAGUGCUUUUCGUUAUAUUUUUAGUUAGAAAUAUUAAGAUUACCAAGUCUAGUCUUUCCUGUUUGGCUGGAGGACUAGAUGGAGCUUUCUGAACCUGCAAUUUAAGAGGCAAAGUGUUUAAUCUUUCAGAGUUCUCUCCCAACUGUGUGAGUUAAAUUAAUGUUAACUAAAAAUCUCUUCAACUGCUCAGGUUGCAGUCUAUCAGAGGUGGUGUCAUAAUCCCACUCAUUUUCCAAUCAUCCAUAUAGAGUUCCAGGCGACCAGAGAAGACAAGAUCUAAUAUUUCUAAUCUAUCCAAGCAGGAAAUGGUCUGGGGAAAAAAAAGCUUUCAAGCCUUCAUGGUAUUUUUUUUUAGUACAGCAUCUGCAACCCACUCUUGUCUCUCUCAGAUCAUGUUUAAAGGAUAGAUAUUACAUGAAACAAAUAUAAUAAUUAUACUGAAUUAUGUGAGACCCAAGGAAAAUGUGUUCUUAGGACCUCUUUAAGAGGGGAAUCUUUAUUAGAAGCACCUUUCAUGGUAUGGGCCUCAUUGGAGGUGUCCUCGGGACAGCAGAAGUCUUCUGCGAGUUCUGACUCCAGCAGCAGGCUGGAAGCGUCUGCCUCCUUUGGUGGCUCCUGCCCAACUGAGCUGCAGGGCCCACCUCUUAUACUUCCUGUCCCUGUCCUGCCAUUCCACUUCUGGCAUGGUGGCCUAAGCCUUCUGGGUUCCGCACACCAGGGGACGUCGGGCUCUCCCUCGCUGUCAGUCUCUGAGGGAGGGCACUCCCCUUUGCUACAGCGCCCCAAACACAGCUCCCAGAAAUUUUUCCCUCAGUGGUAGCCAUUGGGUUAGCUCUGGUGCACACUCAUAGCACUAGUAUAAAGGGCCCAGCUGACCCUGUGCCCCCUCAGUUCCUUCUUUCCGGCCAAUUCCAAAAGAGGGGUUGUAGGGUGGGUCUUAGAAUGGAUAUAUGCAACAUAUCUUGAAGAACAACAGUUACAGAAAGGUUUCAGAGUAGCAGCCGUAUUAGUCUAUAUUCGCAAAAUGUAAAGGAGGACUUGUGGCACCUUAGAGACUAACCAAUUUAUUUGAGCCUAAGCUUUCGUGAGCUACAGCUCACUUCAUCGGAUGCAUUCAGUGGAAAAUACAGCGGGGAGAUUUAUAUACACAGAGAACAUGAAACAAUGGGUGUUACCAUACACACUGUAACAAGAGAGUGAUCACUUAAGGUGAGCUAUUACCAGCAGGAGAGCGGGGGGAGAGGGGAACCUUUUGUAGUGAUAAUCAAGGUGGGCCAUAUCCAGCAGUUGACAAGAACUUCUGAGGAACAGUGGGAGGGGGGAAUAAACAUGGGGAAAUAGUUUUACUUUGUGUAAUGACCCAUCCACUCCCAGUCUUUAUUCAAGCCUAAGUUAAUUGUAUCCAGUAUUCAAAUUAAUUCUAAUUCAGCAGUCUCUCAUUGGAGGCUGUUUUUGAAGUUUUUUUGUUGAAGAAUUGCAACUUUUAGGUCUGUAAUCGAGUGACCAAAGAGAUUGAAGUGUUCUCCAACUCAUGAAAAAUCUUGGAGUUAUUGUGGAUAGUUCUCUGAAAACGUCCACUUGAUGUGCAGCAGCAGUCAAAAAAGCAAACAAUGUUGGGAAUCAUUAAAAAAGGGAUAGAUAAUAAGACAAGCAAAUAUCAUAUUGCUUCUAUAUAAAUCCAUGGUAUGCCCACAUCUUGAAUACUGUGUGCAGAUGUGGUCACCCCAUCUCAAAAAAGAUAUAUUGGAAUUGGAAAAGGUUCAGAAAAGGGCAACAAAAAUUAUUAGGAGUAUCAAACAGCUUCCGUUGAGGAGAGAUUAAUAAGACUGGGACUUUUCAGCUUGGAAAAGAGACGACUAAAGGGGGAUAUGAUAGAGGUCUAUGAAAUAACAACUGGUGUGGAGAAAGUAAAUAAGGAAGUAUUAUUUACUUCUUCUCAUAACACAAGAACUAGGGGUCUUUGAUGUUCCCCUGGUGUUAUCUGGACCGGUGAUCUGCUAGGUCACUCCAAUCCUUUACUCUGGGAGCCAGCUUACCCUGCUCUGCUGUGACAGCUUCUACUCCUGGGCUGCUUGGAUUGUGCAACCAAAUGACACUAGCCAAUAUCUCCGAUCCCAGACACAACCCUAGGAACCUCUGUCUUCCAGUGUCCAGUUAUUCACCCUGGACACUGCAAGCUUAUAUGAGUUUUUCAGUUUAUCAAAGAAAUUGAUAUGUACCAGGCUUGUUAUCACAAAGGGAAUCUCUAACACACUUCAAACCAAACGCACUGCUUCAGGUAGAAUGAACAAAUUUAUUAACUACAAAGAUAGAUUUUAAGUGAUUAUAAAUCAAAGCAUAAGUUGAAUUUGGUCAAAUGAAAUAAAAGCAAAACACAUUCUAAGCUGAUCUUAACACUUUC